This 1990-nucleotide ribosomal RNA is filed under the name human gut metagenome. RNAcentral's name for it is "bacterial LSU rRNA". It matches the Rfam family "Bacterial large subunit ribosomal RNA", at positions 496 to 2471 of the family's 2925-position model. The record is from RNAcentral.
CAGUACCGUGAGGGAAAGGCGAAAAGAACCCCGGCGAGGGGAGUGAAAAAGAACCUGAAACCGUGUACGUACAAGCAGUGGGAGCCUCUUUAUGGGGUGACUGCGUACCUUUUGUAUAAUGGGUCAGCGACUUAUAUUCUGUAGCAAGGUUAACCGAAUAGGGGAGCCGAAGGGAAACCGAGUCUUAACUGGGCGUUAAGUUGCAGGGUAUAGACCCGAAACCCGGUGAUCUAGCCAUGGGCAGGUUGAAGGUUGGGUAACACUAACUGGAGGACCGAACCGACUAAUGUUGAAAAAUUAGCGGAUGACUUGUGGCUGGGGGUGAAAGGCCAAUCAAACCGGGAGAUAGCUGGUUCUCCCCGAAAGCUAUUUAGGUAGCGCCUCGUGAAUUCAUCUCCGGGGGUAGAGCACUGUUUCGGCAAGGGGGUCAUCCCGACUUACCAACCCGAUGCAAACUGCGAAUACCGGAGAAUGUUAUCACGGGAGACACACGGCGGGUGCUAACGUCCGUCGUGAAGAGGGAAACAACCCAGACCGCCAGCUAAGGUCCCAAAGUCAUGGUUAAGUGGGAAACGAUGUGGGAAGGCCCAGACAGCCAGGAUGUUGGCUUAGAAGCAGCCAUCAUUUAAAGAAAGCGUAAUAGCUCACUGGUCGAGUCGGCCUGCGCGGAAGAUGUAACGGGGCUAAACCAUGCACCGAAGCUGCGGCAGCGACACUAUGUGUUGUUGGGUAGGGGAGCGUUCUGUAAGCCUGUGAAGGUGUACUGUGAGGUAUGCUGGAGGUAUCAGAAGUGCGAAUGCUGACAUAAGUAACGAUAAAGCGGGUGAAAAGCCCGCUCGCCGGAAGACCAAGGGUUCCUGUCCAACGUUAAUCGGGGCAGGGUGAGUCGACCCCUAAGGCGAGGCCGAAAGGCGUAGUCGAUGGGAAACAGGUUAAUAUUCCUGUACUUGGUGUUACUGCGAAGGGGGGACGGAGAAGGCUAUGUUGGCCGGGCGACGGUUGUCCCGGUUUAAGCGUGUAGGCUGGUUUUCCAGGCAAAUCCGGAAAAUCAAGGCUGAGGCGUGAUGACGAGGCACUACGGUGCUGAAGCAACAAAUGCCCUGCUUCCAGGAAAAGCCUCUAAGCAUCAGGUAACAUCAAAUCGUACCCCAAACCGACACAGGUGGUCAGGUAGAGAAUACCAAGGCGCUUGAGAGAACUCGGGUGAAGGAACUAGGCAAAAUGGUGCCGUAACUUCGGGAGAAGGCACGCUGAUAUGUAGGUGAAGCGACUUGCUCGUGGAGCUGAAAUCAGUCGAAGAUACCAGCUGGCUGCAACUGUUUAUUAAAAACACAGCACUGUGCAAACACGAAAGUGGACGUAUACGGUGUGACGCCUGCCCGGUGCCGGAAGGUUAAUUGAUGGGGUUAGCGAUAACGCGAAGCUCUUGAUCGAAGCCCCGGUAAACGGCGGCCGUAACUAUAACGGUCCUAAGGUAGCGAAAUUCCUUGUCGGGUAAGUUCCGACCUGCACGAAUGGCGUAAUGAUGGCCAGGCUGUCUCCACCCGAGACUCAGUGAAAUUGAACUCGCUGUGAAGAUGCAGUGUACCCGCGGCAAGACGGAAAGACCCCGUGAACCUUUACUAUAGCUUGACACUGAACAUUGAGCCUUGAUGUGUAGGAUAGGUGGGAGGCUUUGAAGUGUGGACGCCAGUCUGCAUGGAGCCGACCUUGAAAUACCACCCUUUAAUGUUUGAUGUUCUAACGUUGGCCCCUGAUCGGGGUUGCGGACAGUGUCUGGUGGGUAGUUUGACUGGGGCGGUCUCCUCCUAAAGAGUAACGGAGGAGCACGAAGGUUGGCUAAUCCUGGUCGGACAUCAGGAGGUUAGUGCAAUGGCAUAAGCCAGCUUGACUGCGAGCGUGACGGCGCGAGCAGGUGCGAAAGCAGGUCAUAGUGAUCCGGUGGUUCUGAAUGGAAGGGCCAUCGCUCAACGGAUAAAAGGUACUCCGG